AGUGAACGCUGGCGGUAGGCCUAACACAUGCAAGUCGAACGGCAGCACAGUAAGAGCUUGCUCUUACGGGUGGCGAGUGGCGGACGGGUGAGGAAUACAUCGGAAUCUACUUUUUCGGGGGGGAUAACGUAGGGAAACUUACGCUAAUACCGCAUAUGACCUACGGGUGAAAGCAGGGGAUCUUCGGACCUUGCGCGAUUGAAUGAGCCGAUGUCGGAUUAGCUAGUUGGCGGGGUAAAGGCCCACCAAGGCGACGAUCCGUAGCUGGUCUGAGAGGAUGAUCAGCCACACUGGAACUGAGACACGGUCCAGACUCCUACGGGAGGCAGCAGUGGGGAAUCUUGCGCAAUGGGCGAAAGCCUGAUCCAGCAAUACCGCGUGAGUGAUGAAGGCCUUCGGGUUGUAAAGCCCUGUUGUUGGGAAAGAAAAACAGCAGGUUUAUACCGCGCUGUUCUGACGGUACCCAAAGAAUAAGCACCGGCUAACUUCGUG
Molecule: ribosomal RNA, 492 nt
Filed under: uncultured bacterium
Lineage: Bacteria
Description: partial 16S ribosomal RNA
Rfam family: Bacterial small subunit ribosomal RNA
Source: RNAcentral